This 486-nucleotide ribosomal RNA is filed under the name uncultured bacterium. RNAcentral describes it as "bacterial SSU rRNA". It matches the Rfam family "Bacterial small subunit ribosomal RNA", at positions 29 to 507 of the family's 1533-position model. The record is from RNAcentral.
AUGAACGCUAGCGACAGGCUUUAACACAUGCAAGUCGAGGGGCAGCACAGUGUAGCAAUACACGGGUGGCGACCGGCGCACGGGUGCGUAACACGUAUCCAAUCUGCCCGUUACUCGGGGAUAGCCUUCUGAAAGGAAGAUUAAUACCCGAUGGCAUGUAUUUCCGGCAUCGGAGAUACAUUAAAGAUUUAUCGGUAACGGAUGAGGAUGCGUACGAUUAGCUUGUUGGCGGGGUAACGGCCCACCAAGGCGACGAUCGUUAGGGGUUCUGAGAGGAAGGUCCCCCACACUGGAACUGAGACACGGUCCAGACUCCUACGGGAGGCAGCAGUGAGGAAUAUUGGACAAUGGAUGGAAAUCUGAUCCAGCCAUGCCGCGUGCAGGAUGACGGCCCUAUGGGUCUUAAACUGCUUUUGUAUGGGAGCAAUAAGUUCUACGUGUAGAGUGAUGAGAGUACCAUACGAAUAAGCAUCGGCUAACUCCGUG